RNAcentral lists this ribosomal RNA (492 nucleotides) under uncultured bacterium. RNAcentral's name for it is "partial 16S ribosomal RNA". It matches the Rfam family "Bacterial small subunit ribosomal RNA", at positions 29 to 507 of the family's 1533-position model. The record is from RNAcentral.
AGUGAACGCUGGCGGUAGGCCUAACACAUGCAAGUCGAACGGCAGCACAGUAAGAGCUUGCUCUUACGGGUGGCGAGUGGCGGACGGGUGAGGAAUACAUCGGAAUCUACUUUUUCGUGGGGGAUAACGUAGGGAAACUUACGCUAAUACCGCAUACGACCUACGGGUGAAAGCAGGGGAUCUUCGGACCUUGCGGGAUUGAAUGAGCCGAUGUCGGAUUAGCUAGUUGGCGGGGUAAAGGCCCACCAAGGCGACGAUCCGUAGCUGGUCUGAGAGGAUGAUCAGCCACACUGGAACUGAGACACGGUCCAGACUCCUACGGGAGGCCGCAGUGUGGAAUAUUGGACAAUGGGCGCAAGCCUGAUCCAGCCAUACCGCGUGGGUGAAGAAGGCCUUCGGGUUGUAAAGCCCUUUUGUUGGGAAAGAAAAGCAGCAGGUUAAUACCCCGCUGUUCUGACGGUACCCAAAGAAUAAGCACCGGCUAACUUCGUG